Molecule: small nucleolar RNA, 108 nt
Filed under: Gossypium hirsutum (cotton)
Lineage: Eukaryota; Viridiplantae; Streptophyta; Magnoliopsida; Malvales; Malvaceae
Description: Plant small nucleolar RNA R71
Rfam family: Plant small nucleolar RNA R71
About the family: R71 is a member of the C/D box family of snoRNAs containing the C (UGAUGA) and D (CUGA) box motifs. Multiple nearly identical copies of this snoRNA have been identified in Arabidopsis, and it is thought to function as a 2'-O-ribose methylation guide for 18S ribosomal RNA.
Source: Rfam by way of RNAcentral
AACCCAUGGUGAGGGCAUAUUCUCAGGAGGUCCUUGCAUCUCUCCCAUGCAUCGUAGAGUGUUUCUAAAUCCAUCUGUACAAAAUUACGUAAUUUGGCUGUUUUUGUU